GGCUGGUUAGCUCAGUCAGUUGAGCAUGGCGCUAACAGCGCCAAGGUCACGGGUUUGAUUCCCGUUCAGUCC
Molecule: transfer RNA, 72 nt
Filed under: Apaloderma vittatum (bar-tailed trogon)
Lineage: Eukaryota; Metazoa; Chordata; Aves; Trogoniformes; Trogonidae
Rfam family: tRNA
About the family: Transfer RNA (tRNA) molecules are approximately 80 nucleotides in length. Their secondary structure includes four short double-helical elements and three loops (D, anti-codon, and T loops).
Source: Rfam by way of RNAcentral